Molecule: ribosomal RNA, 850 nt
Filed under: uncultured bacterium
Lineage: Bacteria
Description: bacterial SSU rRNA
Rfam family: Bacterial small subunit ribosomal RNA
Source: RNAcentral
UACGGAAGGUCCAGGCGUUAUCCGGAUUUAUUGGGUUUAAAGGGAGCGUAGGCUGUUUGUUAAGCGUGUUGUGAAAUGUAAGAGCUCAACUUUUAGAUUGCAGCGCGAACUGGCAGACUUGAGUGCGCACAACGUAGGCGGAAUUCAUGGUGUAGCGGUGAAAUGCUUAGAUAUCAUGACGAACUCCGAUUGCGAAGGCAGCUUACGGGAGCGCAACUGACGCUAAAGCUCGAAGGUGCGGGUAUCGAACAGGAUUAGAUACCCUGGUAGUCCGCACAGUAAACGAUGGAUGCCCGCUGUUAGCACCUAGUGUUAGCGGCUAAGCGAAAGCAUUAAGCAUCCCACCUGGGGAGUACGCCGGCAACGGUGAAACUCAAAGGAAUUGACGGGGGCCCGCACAAGCGGAGGAACAUGUGGUUUAAUUCGAUGAUACGCGAGGAACCUUACCCGGGCUUGAACUGCCAGCGAACGAUACAGAGAUGUUGAGGCCCUUCGGGGCGCUGGUGGAGGUGCUGCAUGGUUGUCGUCAGCUCGUGCCGUGAGGUGUCGGCUUAAGUGCCAUAACGAGCGCAACCCUUUUCUUUAGUUGCCAUCAGGUAAUGCUGGGCACUCUAUGGAUACUGCCACCGUAAGGUGUGAGGAAGGUGGGGAUGACGUCAAAUCAGCACGGCCCUUACGUCCGGGGCUACACACGUGUUACAAUGGGGCAUACAGAGUGUUGGCUUAACGCAAGUUUGGUCUAAUCUUCAAAGUGUCUCCCAGUUCGGAUUGGGGUCUGCAACCCGACCCCAUGAAGCUGGAUUCGCUAGUAAUCGCGCAUCAGCCAUGGCGCGGUGAAUACGUUCCCGGG